ACUCCUACGGGAGGCAGCAGUGGGGAAUAUUGCACAAUGGGCGCAAGCCUGAUGCAGCCAUGCCGCGUGUAUGAAGAAGGCCUUCGGUUGUAAAGUACUUUCAGCAGUGAGGAAGGUGGGUAUGUUAAUAGCAUACUCAUUUGACGUUAGCUGCAGAAGAAGCACCGGCUAACUCCGUGCCAGCAGCCGCGGUAAUACGGAGGGUGCGAGCGUUAAUCGGAAUUACUGGGCGUAAAGCGCAUGCAGGUGGUUUGUUAAGUCAGAUGUGAAAGCCCGGGGCGUCAACCUCGGAAUUGCAUUUGAAACUGGCAAACUAGAGUACUGUAGAGGGGGUAGAAUUUCAGGUGUAGCGGUGAAAUGCGUAGAGAUCUGAAGGAAUACCGGUGGCGAAGGCGGCCCCCUGGACAGAUACUGACACUCAGAUGC
Molecule: ribosomal RNA, 426 nt
Filed under: uncultured bacterium
Lineage: Bacteria
Description: bacterial SSU rRNA
Rfam family: Bacterial small subunit ribosomal RNA
Source: RNAcentral